GAUGAACGCUAGCGAUAGGCUUAACACAUGCAAGUCGAGGGGCAGCAUGAUCUUAGCUUGCUAAGAUUGAUGGCGACCGGCGCACGGGUGCGUAACGCGUAUGCAACUUGCCUUACAGAGGGGGAUAACCCGUUGAAAGACGGACUAAUACCGCAUACACUUGAAGGAUCGCAUGAUUUUUCAAGGAAAUAUUUAUAGCUGUAAGAUAGGCAUGCGUCCCAUUAGUUAGUUGGUGAGGUAACGGCUCACCAAGACCGCGAUGGGUAGGGGAACUGAGAGGUUUAUCCCCCACACUGGUACUGAGACACGGACCAGACUCCUACGGGAGGCAGCAGUGAGGAAUAUUGGUCAAUGGGCGAGAGCCUGAACCAGCCAAGUCGCGUGAAGGAUGACUGUCCUAAGGAUUGUAAACUUCUUUUAUACGAGAAUAAUAGUCAUUACGAGUAGUGAUUUGAAUGUAUCGUAAGAAUAAGCAUCGGCUAACUCCGUGCCAGCAGCCGCGGUAAUACGGAGGAUGCGAGCGUUAUCCGGAUUUAUUGGGUUUAAAGGGUGCGUAGGUUGUGUUGUAAGUCAGCGGUGAAAUCUGAGCGCUUAACGUUCAGCCUGCCGUUGAAACUGCAGCGCUUGAGUACAGUGGCGGUAGGCGGAAUGCGUGGUGUAGCGGUAAAAUGCAUAGAUAUCACGCAGAACUCCGAUUGCGAAGGCAGCUUACCAUACUGUUACUGACACUGAAGCACGAAGGCGUGGGUAUCGAACAGGAUUAGAUACCCUGGUAGUCCACGCAGUAAACGAUGAUUACUAGGAGUUUGCGAUACACAGUAAGCUUCCACAGCGAAAGCGUUAAGUAAUCCACCUGGGGAGUACGCCGGCAACGGUGAAACUCAAAGGAAUUGACGGGGGCCCGCACAAGCGGAGGAACAUGUGGUUUAAUUCGAUGAUACGCGAGGAACCUUACCUGGGAUUGAAAUGUAGACGACCGGUCUGGAGACAGACUCUCCCUUCGGGGCGUUUAUGUAGGUGCUGCAUGGUUGUCGUCAGCUCGUGCCGUGAGGUGUCGGCUUAAGUGCCAUAACGAGCGCAACCCACAUUGGUAGUUGCUAACAGGUCAUGCUGAGGACUCUAUCGAGACUGCCGUCGUAAGGCGAGAGGAAGGUGUGGAUGACGUCAAAUCAGCACGGCCCUUACAUCCAGGGCGACACACGUGUUACAAUGGGAGGGACAAAGGGCAGCUACCGGGCGACCGGAUGCGAAUCUCCAAACCCUUCCCCAGUUCGGAUCGGAGUCUGCAACUCGACUCCGUGAAGCUGGAUUCGCUAGUAAUCGCGCAUCAGCCAUGGCGCGGUGAAUACGUUCCCGGGCCU
RNAcentral lists this ribosomal RNA (1361 nucleotides) under uncultured bacterium. RNAcentral describes it as "bacterial SSU rRNA". It matches the Rfam family "Bacterial small subunit ribosomal RNA", at positions 28 to 1381 of the family's 1533-position model. The record is from RNAcentral.